GAGUAAUGUCUGGGAAACUGCCUGAUGGAGGGGGAUAACUACUGGAAACGGUAGCUAAUACCGCAUAACGUCGCAAGACCAAAGAGGGGGACCUUCGGGCCUCUUGCCAUCGGAUGUGCCCAGAUGGGAUUAGCUAGUAGGUGGGGUAACGGCUCACCUAGGCGACGAUCCCUAGCUGGUCUGAGAGGAUGACCAGCCACACUGGAACUGAGACACGGUCCAGACUCCUACGGGAGGCAGCAGUGGGGAAUAUUGCACAAUGGGCGCAAGCCUGAUGCAGCCAUGCCGCGUGUAUGAAGAAGGCCUUCGGGUUGUAAAGUACUUUCAGCGGGGAGGAAGGGAGUAAAGUUAAUACCUUUGCUCAUUGACGUUACCCGCAGAAGAAGCACCGGCUAACUCCGUGCCAGCAGCCGCGGUAAUACGGAGGGUGCAAGCGUUAAUCGGAAUUACUGGGCGUAAAGCGCACGCAGGCGGUUUGUUAAGUCAGAUGUGAAAUCCCCGGGCUCAACCUGGGAACUGCAUCUGAUACUGGCAAGCUUGAGUCUCGUAGAGGGGGGUAGAAUUCCAGGUGUAGCGGUGAAAUGCGUAGAGAUCUGGAGGAAUACCGGUGGCGAAGGCGGCCC
This 623-nucleotide ribosomal RNA is filed under the name Escherichia coli. Its description in RNAcentral is "bacterial SSU rRNA". It matches the Rfam family "Bacterial small subunit ribosomal RNA", at positions 108 to 727 of the family's 1533-position model. Lineage: Bacteria; Pseudomonadati; Pseudomonadota; Gammaproteobacteria; Enterobacterales; Enterobacteriaceae. The record is from RNAcentral.